GUGGAAAUGUAAUAACGUCGCAUUCGUAAUGCGAAGGUCGUAGGUUCGACUCCUAUUAUCGGCA
RNAcentral lists this transfer RNA (64 nucleotides) under Citrobacter freundii. RNAcentral's name for it is "tRNA-Thr". It matches the Rfam family "tRNA", at positions 10 to 71 of the family's 71-position model. Rfam says of the family: Transfer RNA (tRNA) molecules are approximately 80 nucleotides in length. Their secondary structure includes four short double-helical elements and three loops (D, anti-codon, and T loops). Further hydrogen bonds mediate the characteristic L-shaped molecular structure. tRNAs have two regions of fundamental functional importance: the anti-codon, which is responsible for specific mRNA codon recognition, and the 3' end, to which the tRNAs corresponding amino acid is attached (by aminoacyl-tRNA synthetases). tRNAs cope with the degeneracy of the genetic code in two manners: having more than one tRNA (with a specific anti-codon) for a particular amino acid; and 'wobble' base-pairing, i.e. permitting non-standard base-pairing at the 3rd anti-codon position. Lineage: Bacteria; Pseudomonadati; Pseudomonadota; Gammaproteobacteria; Enterobacterales; Enterobacteriaceae. The record is from RNAcentral.